This is a non-coding RNA of Pogona vitticeps (central bearded dragon), 373 nucleotides long. NCBI's taxonomy places the organism in Eukaryota, Metazoa, Chordata, Lepidosauria, Squamata, Agamidae. The record is from RefSeq and is a predicted model, not a curated record.
GGACAGGACCUUUCGGAGAUCACUCAAUCACAUGGCAGCCAUAAAUGAGAGGUGGCGUGAUGGCAUGUAGCAUCAACAACAAACUGCAAACAAAACUUUUAGCUCCAGUGAGCAGGACUGUCUCAAGAAAUAUUGCAACUGCAGCAAAGCAGCAAAUGUCCUGUCACCCAAGUCGAAGUACAUAAUACUCCAAAGCAGACAAAUAAUUUUGGCGCACGAGAAUUUGUUGCCUGAAGCGGACAGCUUACUGUGCCACAGCAGAAGAGCCUCACCAGGAGACACCCUGGAACUUGCCAACAAGCUUGCCUCCAGCAUGAAGUCAUGGUCACACAUCAGUUCCCGUUCUAGCAGCUGCCACGAAAUGUGCUUCUGA